This 253-nucleotide ribosomal RNA is filed under the name uncultured bacterium. RNAcentral describes it as "partial 16S ribosomal RNA". It matches the Rfam family "Bacterial small subunit ribosomal RNA", at positions 524 to 776 of the family's 1533-position model. The record is from RNAcentral.
GACAGAGGCCUCGAGCGUUAGGCGGAAUCACUGGGCUUAAAGCGUGUGUAGGCGGAUCGUUAAGUGCCUUGUGAAAUCCCACGGCUUAACUAUGGAACGGCUGGGUAUACUGGCGGUCUUGGGCCACUCAGGGGCGAGCGGAACAAGUGGUGGAGCGGUGAAAUGCGUAGAUAUCACUUGGAACGCCGACGGUGAAAACAGCUCGCUGGGAGUGUGCCGACGCUGAGACACGAAAGCCAGGGGAGCGAACGGG